UGAAAUUAGAUGUUCAACUAAACCUACCACUUUAAGAUGAUCAAAUGAGAAGCAGCAAAUGGUGGAAAUGGCAACAAGUUCAGUAAUGUUGAUCUAACCUUCUUCGAAUAAUGUCUGGUUUUGGAGUGAUGGCUCAAAGUACAGUGACUGGCUUACUGGUGAGCCAAAUGAAAAUGGAGGAAAGGAAAAUUGUUUGGAGCUGGCCUAUGGAGCUGAGCAACGCUGGAAUGAUCUGGACUGUGCCACUCCUCUCAAUUUCAUCUGUUUGAUUUCUCUUCCUGCUUGUUAAUCUCAUCUGUCCAUCACCCGAGAGGCUUUGGUUUUUGGAUUAAUGUUAGUCUCUGCAAAAAUAAAAGUGAAGUGGACUUCAAACUUUUUUCUUUUUUUUUUUAUCUUGCUGGAGUAAACUGUAAACCGACCCUUUUGAUUGGUUCCAACUGGAAGUCAAGGAAGGGACCGGUGCCUCUGGUAUUUAAUGGGCUUCGUAGGGUCAAGUAUGUAAUUUUUGUGUUUUAAGGAAUCGUGAGCGCAGGGGGACUCGACACCAGUGACGUUUGUAGUCAUUAGUUCCGACAUCUACCAAGAGUACGGAAAGCCUGUAACAUUUACACUAUUAGCUGUACUAGUAUCUUUACAAGUUGUUAGUACUUAAUUAAAAUUUUUAUAGAUACUAUCUUUUGUAAAGUUACUAGUACUUAUUCCUUAGAUACUAGUGACUAUUUAUUAGGUACUUAUUUGAUACUAGUACAUUUUUUUACUAGUAUUUAUUAAUUAGAUACUAGUACUUCAAUAGUGAGUAGUAACUUUUUGUUACUAGUAACAAAUGUAAAAUAUUUGCAAUUGACUUCUAUGGGGUUCCAGCGUUGAGCUCCACUAUUGAGUUUACUAGUAUUGUCACAGUGUCUGGUCUGUGUAUCCCUGGGUGUCCACUAGAGGUCUCACUUCCCCUUAUCGUCACUGUUCAUUGUUUUCAGCUGUUUCCACUUACAUCGUUUGCACCUGUCUUUUAAAUACCUGGUUUGUUUCUGUCUUUGUUACGGAGUCCUUGGAUUAUGUUAAAGUAUUUAAUGUCCGUCAUUUUUGCCUUGCCUAGA
This 1094-nucleotide long non-coding RNA is filed under the name Carassius auratus (goldfish). RNAcentral's name for it is "lncRNA (ENSCARG00000015133.1)". Lineage: Eukaryota; Metazoa; Chordata; Actinopteri; Cypriniformes; Cyprinidae. The record is from RNAcentral.